Budorcas taxicolor (takin) is the source of this 310-nucleotide long non-coding RNA. RefSeq lists it as uncharacterized. The record is from RefSeq and is a predicted model, not a curated record. Lineage: Eukaryota; Metazoa; Chordata; Mammalia; Artiodactyla; Bovidae. The transcript is spliced from 3 exons.
GGAGCAGAGAGGACCAGAUGCGUGUGGGUUUGGGGAAAGAGGAGCAGGUAGCUUAAGGAAGAGGACGAGUCAGUUUGGGACAGGCCCUCCCUGAUGAAGCUUAUUGCCCAGUGGAGGGGGCUUCGAAACAAGGCUUCAAGCAAGGUUGAAGCAGACAGGCUGCAGAGAAGCUGCUGCUAAUGGCAAUGGGACCAGGAACGGGGGAAGAAGGCAGCACAAUCCUUCAACCUCAGAGGCUUGCGUGGGAGAAACCCCAGUCAGUAGGAAUGAUCAGAGCAAGAUGAGAGGAGUACGAGAAAAAUGAAGAAGC